Molecule: ribosomal RNA, 200 nt
Filed under: uncultured bacterium
Lineage: Bacteria
Description: partial 16S ribosomal RNA
Rfam family: Bacterial small subunit ribosomal RNA
Source: RNAcentral
UACUCCUACGGGAGGCAGCAGUAGGGAAUCUUCCACAAUGGACGAAAGUCUGAUGGAGCAACGCCGCGUGAGUGAAGAAGGUUUUCGGAUCGUAAAACUCUGUUGUUGGAGAAGAACGUAUUUGAUAGUAACUGAUCAGGUAGUGACGGUAUCCAACCAGAAAGCCACGGCUAACUACGUGCCAGCAGCCGCGGUAAUAA